AGCUACUUGGCGCAGGGGAAGCGCGCCGGGCUCAUAACCCGGAGGAGUGAGUCAACACCCUUUAUAUACGACAUUACAAAUUUACUAACAAGGUACCAGCGCCAGAUCGAAACUGGCAGUAGCUA
Molecule: non-coding RNA, 125 nt
Organism: Dendryphion nanum
Lineage: Eukaryota; Fungi; Ascomycota; Dothideomycetes; Pleosporales; Torulaceae
Source: the annotation of a GenBank genome assembly